UCUCCGUUGGUGAACCAGCGGAGGGAUCAUUAUCGAGUUUAUAACUCCCAAACCCUAUGUGAACUUACCACUUGUUGCUUCGGCGCGCGCUUCGGUGCCGCCGAGGACACUUAAACUCUUUGUUUUUAUAAGCAUUUCUGAGUGGCCGAAAGGCAAAAUACAAAUGGAUCAAAACUUUCAACAACGGAUCUCUUGGUUCUG
Molecule: unclassified non-coding RNA, 201 nt
Filed under: plant metagenome
Description: partial contains small subunit ribosomal RNA, internal transcribed spacer 1, and 5.8S ribosomal RNA
Source: RNAcentral